GCGAACGCUGGCGGCAGGCCUAACACAUGCAAGUCGAACGAACCUUUCGGGGUUAGUGGCGGACGGGUGAGUCACACGUGGGAACGUGCCUUUAGGUUCGGAAUAACUCAGGGAAACUUGUGCUAAUACCGAAUGUGCCCUUCGGGGGAAAGAUUAAUCGCCUUUAGAGCGGCCCGCGUCUGAUUAGCUAGUUGGUUGAGGUAAUGGCUCACCAAGGCGACGAUCAGUAGCUGGUCUGAGAGGAUGAUCAGCCACAUUGGGACUGAGACACGGCCCAAACUCCUACGGGAGGCAGCAGUGGGGAAUCUUGCGCAAUGGGCGAAAGCCUGACGCAGCCAUGCCGCGUGAAUGAUGAAGGUCUUAGGAUUGUAAAAUUCUUUCACCGGGGACGAUAAUGACGGUACCCGGAGAAGAAGCCCCGGCUAACUUCGUG
RNAcentral lists this ribosomal RNA (433 nucleotides) under uncultured bacterium. RNAcentral's name for it is "partial 16S ribosomal RNA". It matches the Rfam family "Bacterial small subunit ribosomal RNA", at positions 29 to 507 of the family's 1533-position model. The record is from RNAcentral.